CCCAUAUAAGCCCUAGACCGCCAGCGAUCGGGGCCUGACAUUCUGGGAGUGAUCCCAAUCAGUGCCCAUCAACAUCAAUAAAUCUGCCUUCAAUUCCUGGAUAUCUUCCUCAGUUUGGUACUUCUGUUUGCCACUGCACUAUAAAAGAUGGAGUCCACAAGGCACAGGAAAACUUCCAGGUGGCAAAGUGAUCAGGAAAGGGAGCAGAAGGCACCGCCCUCCCUGGGGCAUCAGGAGAACAGACCAUGCUAGGAGCCCCCUCUGGGGCCAGCUCGUCCUCCGGAAGAACUUCUCAGACACCAACCAGCAGCAACACCUAGGCAAGGCGGUUGGUGAGAGUCCAUCAACACUGAGAAGAGACGAAGGGACUCAGGGCUCAGGGAAGACAGGAAAACAAGCGGCACACAUGACACAGCCUGCCGUUCCCGGACUCGGGACCCACUCAAGGAGCCACGGGAGCAGAGAGAGACAGCCAGUCCGAAAUGUCUCCUCAGAGCUGCGUGCGUGGCUUGCUGCUACAUGGAACUGGGCAGCAACAGACAGCGGGAAGCUAUAUCUAAGAUUCUAAAAGUUUCUGCUCUCAAAAUGAUUACCAGCUUGGGCUGAGACUCUUGAGUGUUCAAGCGAUAAAAUGGCCCUGGGUCCCUCGCUGUGAGUGGGAAGUAGA
Long non-coding RNA from Chinchilla lanigera (long-tailed chinchilla), 667 nucleotides. RefSeq lists it as uncharacterized. Lineage: Eukaryota; Metazoa; Chordata; Mammalia; Rodentia; Chinchillidae. The transcript has 3 exons. The record is from RefSeq and is a predicted model, not a curated record.